CCCAGCAGCUACAGCAGCCCCUCCCCCAACCCAAGGUGGGCAGAAGACAAGGAACGGUGGCCCAGCUCCAAGGGAGGUGGAGAAACUGAGGCACAGCACUGCUGCUAAUAUAAACCAGGGGAAGAAAUUGUAUAAAACAGACAGAGUUGAUGCAUACUGGGCCCUUCUCCUGCCCACACGUUCUCUGCAAGCAACUAAGACACUGAGAAGAAGACAAGACUCCAACAGAGGAGAUUGGCCCAAGUUUAAGGAACAAACUGUAUAUUAAGGACUGCAAUAUCCAAUGGGGUGUACUGCCUGGCCUCCACCAGCAACGAAAUAAUAAUGUACAGCGCCUAGCACAAUGGAGCCCUGGCCUGUAAGUGGGGCUCCUGGGAACAACUGAAAUGCAAAUCCCAAAUACCAAUGUGAACUCCUGAACACCCACACCUGCUGUGAGGGUUUGUGAGCUGUGACAGAGUGAUCAAAGGACAUCAGCACUGAAUGGCUGUCUCCCGGGGAAACAAUCGGGUAGCUACCGGCAAUGCCAAAGGGAAUCACUCUUCCCAGAAGCCUGAACACACGGCUGCACCUGAUCCACAGGGGCAGAGACUGUGCUUCUCCCAGCCAGAGGGUGGCAUUUCUAUGGCCACAGACACAACACAAGGCCCAGAAGGAACGCUUGCCUCCACAAAGGGCUGGGACCAAACCCAGGGCCUU
This is a long non-coding RNA of Mauremys reevesii (Reeves's turtle), 699 nucleotides long. RefSeq lists it as uncharacterized. Lineage: Eukaryota; Metazoa; Chordata; Testudines; Geoemydidae. The transcript has 3 exons. The record is from RefSeq and is a predicted model, not a curated record.